Molecule: ribosomal RNA, 447 nt
Filed under: uncultured bacterium
Lineage: Bacteria
Description: bacterial SSU rRNA
Rfam family: Bacterial small subunit ribosomal RNA
Source: RNAcentral
UGGGGAAUAUUGGACAAUGGGCGAAAGCCUGAUCCAGCCAUGCCGCGUGAGUGACGAAGGCCUUAGGGUUGUAAAACUCUUUCGUCGGGGACGAUAAUGACGGUACCCGAAGAAGAAGCCCCGGCUAACUUCGUGCCAGCAGCCGCGGUAAUACGAAGGGAGCUAGCGUUGUUCGGAAUCACUGGGCGUAAAGCGCACGUAGGCGGAUAGUUAAGUCAGGGGUGAAAUCCUGGGGCUCAACCCCAGAACUGCCUUUGAUACUGGCUGUCUCGAGGUCGAGAGAGGUUGGUGGAAUUCCUAGUGUAGAGGUGAAAUUCGUAGAUAUUAGGAAGAACACCAGUGGCGAAGGCGGCCAACUGGCUCGAUACUGACGCUGAGGUGCGAAAGCGUGGGGAGCAAACAGGAUUAGAUACCCUCGUAGUCCCUGAGCGGGCUGGCAAGGCGCAU